Molecule: small nuclear RNA, 103 nt
Filed under: Piliocolobus tephrosceles (Ugandan red Colobus)
Lineage: Eukaryota; Metazoa; Chordata; Mammalia; Primates; Cercopithecidae
Source: RNAcentral
GCGUUUGCUUCGGCAGCACAUAUGCUAAAACUAGAAUGAUACAGAGAAGACUAACAUGGCCCCUGUGCAAGGAUGACACAUUUGUGAAACGUUUCAUAUUUUU